AGUGAACGCUGGCGGUAGGCCUAACACAUGCAGGUCGAACGGCAGCACAGUAAGAGCUUGCUCUUACGGUUGGCGAGUGGCGGACGGGUGAGGAAUACAUCGGAAUCUACUUUUUCGUGGGGGAUAACGUAGGGAAACUUACGCUAAUACCGCAUACGACCUACGGGUGAAAUCAGGGGAUCUUCGGACCUUGCGCGAUUGAAUGAGCCGAUGUCGGAUUAGCUAGUUGGCGGGGUAAAGGCCCACCAAGGCGACGAUCCGUAGCUGGUCUGAGAGGAUGAUCAGCCACACUGGAACUGAGACACGGUCCAGACUCCUACGGGAGGCAGCAGUGGGGAAUAUUGGACAAUGGGCGAAAGCCUGAUCCAGCAAUACCGCGUGGGUGAAGAAGGCCUUCGGGUUGUAAAGCCCUUUUGUUGGGAAAGAAAAGCAGCAGGUUAAUCCCCCGCUGUUCUGACGGUACCCAAAGAAUAAGCACCGGCUAACUUCGUG
RNAcentral lists this ribosomal RNA (492 nucleotides) under uncultured bacterium. Its description in RNAcentral is "partial 16S ribosomal RNA". It matches the Rfam family "Bacterial small subunit ribosomal RNA", at positions 29 to 507 of the family's 1533-position model. The record is from RNAcentral.